This 277-nucleotide unclassified non-coding RNA is filed under the name Hevea brasiliensis (rubber tree). Lineage: Eukaryota; Viridiplantae; Streptophyta; Magnoliopsida; Malpighiales; Euphorbiaceae. The record is from RNAcentral.
UUAGUAAUCUGCUCAUCAUCUUCCAGCAGCAAGUGCUCCGUAGCAAACCGCUCCCUCUCAUGCAUUCUCCUGAGAAUUUUUUGUUACUGAGCACAAGCUUAGGUGCGUAUAAUUAGCAGAUAUUAUAUAUAUAUUCAACCCCAAAAACAAGCGAGAAAAGAAAAAGGAGGCAGGGAAGAUCGAUUCAUCAGUUGGUUGGCUUUUUCUAGCGAAGAAAUUCAUCUUCUUCAGAGCCAGUAGUGAUGCAAUCUUUGUCAUCUUCAAAACCUUCAAGAGA